Molecule: long non-coding RNA, 2417 nt
Organism: Pezoporus flaviventris
Lineage: Eukaryota; Metazoa; Chordata; Aves; Psittaciformes; Psittacidae
Exons: 2
Source: RefSeq, a predicted model, not a curated record
CCGCCUCUUCUCGCCGGGAGAUGAAGCGCGCCUGGGGCCUGUCCGCGCCGUGGGCUCCGCUCCGACCGCACGUUCUUCGCUAAGGUGUUCCCUGACCGGGUGUUUGGUGCCCCGAGAGUCAGUUCCUACCUUGGGUGUGCCGGGUGGCUUGUCCCUCAGGGGCGUUGGGCCGUGCGUCAGAGGGCUGAGGUGCCCCGCGGAGGUCGCUGCCUUUAUCAGCUUCCCUCCUCUCCCGAGCUUCCCGUCUGGCUGGCUCACUGUUAACCGUGUAGGCAGAGCCCCAACCCCGUAAGUGAUGAUCGGGCUUCCCAGUGUGGUGAAAUGUGGAAUUCAAACAUCCUCUGUAGGUCUGGGUGAUGGAAACUCAUUUACAUGUGUUACAAGAAAAGGUGAUCCCCUGCACAUGUCCAUAGUUGGAACAUGAAGAGGGAAGUAUGUAAAGAAGAGGUGCUACUGUGAAUCAGCAAUAGGAAUUUUCUUCUGCUGAAGCAGCCAGAACACCCGCUGAUCCAAGAGGUCGUAUUUGCUAAGCAGUUGUCUGCCUCGGAAGGCCAAGCCAAGCUAAACUCGACUGUCAGCUUGCAAAGCUGUAAGAAAAAUUUCCCUAUCUAUUAAGCAACCUAAAAUAAACAACUGGAACCCAUAUAUCCAGUGAAAAAACCCUCAAUUACUUAAGAAACUGGAGAACUGAUGCUUUUUGCAAGCAGACAGGCUUGAUGAGAAAUUCACUCUCUUCCCAAUCUAAUGAAAGUCUGGAAGUCUUGCUUUUGCUGUUUGCAUUUGCUUAUUCACUUUUCUACUUGUAUUUUCAAAAUGUGAAGCCCUAAACCAAGGCUAACUGGGUCAGGCUUCCCAAAUCCUACAAUUUGGCACUUGGAGACUUCCUAGACAUUUUAUGCCAUUUUCAUCACUUGGCAUUGCUGUAUUUGAUGCACUAGGUGUGAAAAUGUCUUCAGCCUCAGUGUUUCUUUCCAGUCAGUUUUUUUGCUUUACCAUGAAUCAUAUGUAACACUGACAGACGGUGUCUGCAGUGCUGUUCUUUUAUUCCUGCAGAUCUAGGUUCCCUUUUAUGUGACUUCAUUGCCGAAACCUCAUCAUCCCCUUUGCAUUCUUAUUGCACUAUCAUAAAAUGAUUUGUUUUCUUUGACAAUAAUUUAAAUACUGAAACCUCAUUUUCUACUCCAAAACACUGAAAUUCAUCUGGGAAAACAGUCCUAUCAUUAUAAAAAUGUCUCGAGGGUAUUGAAAUUAAUUUCAGUCAUUCGUUUAAGGGUCAGCAUUAAUUUGUUUUCUAAAAUAUAACUACAAAACCUUUGCGCUGUUUGGAGUACUUUUGUUUUGAACAAAACAGACCUAGGAGCAGCUCUGCUCCAAAACCAAGUAAGGGAAUGAGGCACGCAUAGAGCAGUUAGUUAAAAAGAAAAGAAAAAUAUCCAGUUCUCUUGUGCCUGGGGGGAGGGAGAAGGGAAAAAAUAUCAGUAUUUUUUAACAUGUAAUUUGUUCCACCAGUAGUACUGGCCACCCUGUUGAAGAGCUUUAGAAGAUCCCUGAGCACAUUAGUUUCUGACUUUUAACCCCAGCUCCAAAAUGAUAGGGCUUUCUGUUGUUGAUAGCGAGAUGGAUUGUCAUUCACAGUUAAGUCAAUCAUAAGGUGCUUAGCUAUUUACCCUUUGUCACCAAUCAGCACAAAGAACUGUCAGAAAAUAGCUUUUAUUUCUCUUUUUUUUAAAUAAUAAAAGGGCACAAAUUUUAAACAACGUUUUGUGACAGUGGUUUAGGAUUAUUAUCUGGCUGCCCCUCAACAACAGACAAGUGAUUCAGUCGACAUUCCUUAGGAAAAAAAAAAAAGGCAAAAAAAAAAAAAGAAAAAUCCUGUACAAAUAUGUAUUUUUCCCUGAGGGAUCAAGGUUACACCCGCAAGUGCUCUAUGUACAUAUUGCACUGUAGAGGAAUGAAGAACAUGUGCAAAAAAAGCAACAAUGAUUGAAGCUUACUAAUCAAACCGUUUAAUCGUGACCGCUAUGUCAGCUUGCAUUUUGGAAUGUCGGAACACAGCUAUUCCUUUAGGCUAGAAUGUAAAAACAACGAGAAAACAAAAAAAAAGAAAAACACACCUCUACUAUGGCACAUUCAAUGAAAUAAAAAGUUUUUCAAAGACAAAUAGACAAAUUCCAUCAAGAAAAUAAUACAAAGUUCGUUCGUUUGUGGUUUUUUUUUUUUUGUUUUUUAGAAAAAUUACAUUACUUUCUUUCAUUGUUUCACAUUACAAAAUUUUUUCUUGUUUACACAAAUCACAUUUUAUUGCAGGAAUAUUUCAAGUGCCAUCAAACAUUUAUAGAAGGGUUAAAAAAAUAGAAGUCUCUCUAAAGUGGUCCAGACAAGGCUUUGUAUAGAAUAAAUCUUUUUUCCACCUUCUA